RNAcentral lists this ribosomal RNA (496 nucleotides) under uncultured bacterium. RNAcentral describes it as "partial 16S ribosomal RNA". It matches the Rfam family "Bacterial small subunit ribosomal RNA", at positions 29 to 507 of the family's 1533-position model. The record is from RNAcentral.
AUGAACGCUGGCGGCGUGCCUAAUACAUGCAAGUCGAGCGAACGGACGAGAAGCUUGCCUCUCUGAUGUUAGCGGCGGACGGGUGAGUAACACGUGGAUAACCUACCUAUAAGACUGGGAUAACUUCGGGAAACCGGAGCUAAUACCGGAUGAUAUUUUGAACCGCAUGGUUCAAAAGUGAAAGACGGUCUUGCUGUCACUUAUAGAUGGAUCCGCGCUGCAUUAGCUAGUUGGUAAGGUAACGGCUUACCAAGGCAACGAUGCAUAGCCGACCUGAGAGGGUGAUCGGCCACACUGGAACUGAGACACGGUCCAGACUCCUACGGGAGGCAGCAGUAGGGAAUCUUCCGCAAUGGGCGAAAGCCUGACGGAGCAACGCCGCGUGAGUGAUGAAGGUCUUCGGAUCGUAAAACUCUGUUAUUAGGGAAGAACAUAUGUGUAAGUAACUGUGCACAUCUUGACGGUACCUAAUCAGAAAGCCACGGCUAACUACGUG